This is a long non-coding RNA of Grammomys surdaster, 444 nucleotides long. RefSeq lists it as uncharacterized. NCBI's taxonomy places the organism in Eukaryota, Metazoa, Chordata, Mammalia, Rodentia, Muridae. The record is from RefSeq and is a predicted model, not a curated record. The transcript is spliced from 3 exons.
CAAUAAUCCUCGCUGUUCGCUCAUUCUUCAACCCUGACGAGCCAGGCUAAGACCACAAACAAACUAAGUACUGAGGUUGUUUAUAAUGAUGGGUGCGUGCCUACGAGAACACUAAAGCCUUUGAUAGCAUGUGGUCUGCAGAACUUUUGAGGAAAAAAAAAAAGUCUAGCCACCCUCAUCUACGUCCAUACCACUGGAACUCACAGAUCUAUUUUUCUGAACUCUCUCGGAUGGCUCUGAUGACAAGCCAGCCUGUUUCCAAUCUGCCCUUCCCUGUCACCAGACACCUGCACUUCUUUGCAUCAGCUUGCCCAGAACUUGCUCACUGCAUUCGAAGAUGGUGCGGGCAAUCGCUCCUUCGCUCUGUACACGGUUCUGUUAGGAGCCAACGGACCCUCACUCCACCAAUCACAGCUCUACACGAGGCAGCAUCCAGAGCGGACU